GACGAACGCUGGCGGCGUGCUUAACACAUGCCAGUCGAACGGAAAGGCCCUGCUUUUGUGGGGUGCUCGAGUGGCGAACGGGUGAGUAACACGUGAGUAACCUGCCCUUGACUUUGGGAUAACUUCAGGAAACUGGGGCUAAUACCGGAUAGGAGCUCCUGCUGCAUGGUGGGGGUUGGAAAGUUUCGGCGGUUGGGGAUGGACUCGCGGCUUAUCAGCUUGUUGGUGGGGUAGUGGCUUACCAAGGCUUUGACGGGUAGCCGGCCUGAGAGGGUGAUCGGCCACAUUGGGACUGAGAUACGGCCCAGACUCCUACGGGAGGCAGCAGUGGGGAAUAUUGCACAAUGGGCGGAAGCCUGAUGCAGCAACGCCGCGUGCGGGAUGACGGCCUUCGGGUUGUAAACCGCUUUCGCCUGUGACGAAGCGUGAGUGACGGUAAUGGGUAAAGAAGCACCGGCUAACUACGCG
Molecule: ribosomal RNA, 468 nt
Filed under: uncultured bacterium
Lineage: Bacteria
Description: partial 16S ribosomal RNA
Rfam family: Bacterial small subunit ribosomal RNA
Source: RNAcentral